This is a long non-coding RNA of Oncorhynchus tshawytscha (Chinook salmon), 794 nucleotides long. NCBI's taxonomy places the organism in Eukaryota, Metazoa, Chordata, Actinopteri, Salmoniformes, Salmonidae. The record is from Ensembl.
CAGUAACCACAACAUCACUACAGCACCACUACGACCAGUAACCACAACAUCACUACAACCAGUAACCACGACACCACUACGACCAGUCACUACAACAUCACUACGACCAGUCACGACAACAUCAAUACGACCAGUCACUACAACACCACUACGACAAGUAACCACAACAUCACUACAGUCACUACAACAUCACUACGACCAGUCACGACAACAUCACUACGACCAGUCACGACAACAUCACUUACGACCAGUCACUACAACAUCACUACAACAUCACUACGACAUCACUACGACCAGUCACCACAACAUCACUACACCCAGUCACCACAACAUCACUACGACCAGUCACUACAAGAUCACUACGACCAGUCACUACAAGAUCACUACGACAUCACUACACCCAGUCAUUACAAGAUCACUACGACCAGUCACCACAACUUCACUACGACCAGUCACCACAACAUCACUACACCCAGUCAUUACAAGAUCACGACGACCAGUCACUACAACAUCACUACGACCAGUCACUACGACCAGUCACCACAACAUCACUACACCCAGUCAUUACAAGAUCACUACGACCAAUCACUACAACAUCACUACGACCAGUCACUACGACCAGUCACCACAACAUCACUACACCCAGUCAUUACAAGAUCACUACGACCAGUCACUACAACAUCACUGCAACCAGUCAUUACAACUUCACGACACCCAGGCAAUACAACAUCACCACAACCAGUCACUACAACAUCACUACGACCAGUAACCACAACAUCACUACGACCAGUCAC